This is a long non-coding RNA of Mesocricetus auratus (golden hamster), 712 nucleotides long. RefSeq lists it as uncharacterized. The record is from RefSeq and is a predicted model, not a curated record. The transcript has 3 exons. NCBI's taxonomy places the organism in Eukaryota, Metazoa, Chordata, Mammalia, Rodentia, Cricetidae.
CCACUCAGCCUCGAUUCACUCUGGCUUCACCGGUCUCCUCGGUGCCCAUCAGUCUUAUUUCGGCACCUGCCAUUUCUUCUACCUGGAAUGCUGCUCUCCCAGAUGUCCAUGCUACUGGCUGCCCCACCUCUGCUAAAAAUACACACCAAGGAUCUUGGCUCCUUCAGUCCUGUCUCCCCAGCCACCAGAAUGGCACCUCUCACAUUAUGACGAGCAAAUUCUGGACCUGAAGGAAGUCACAAUUUGGAAGAUUUAAUCACCCACACCCUUCAUCCCUGGCCCCGUGGCAGGUGGUGUGUUGAAGGCAGACUCCAUCCUGGCACUGGGUGACAGUUGUGGGGUGUACAGGGCUCACCACCCCACAAAUAGUUCCAGGACCCAGCUUCUGCUGCAAGACCUGCUUCCUCUGCCUCUGGGUCCUGGGACCUCCCACUUCUCCCCCACCUCCUCCUUUUUGCUUUCCUGCUCCGUGCCCCCCCUCCCCCCGUCCAAGCUGCUCUUGCUUGCUCUCUAGUGGCCAUGUUUGCAAGUCCAUCUCAGGCGUUCCCACUUAAACUCCUCCAACGAGAGCCAGCGGGGUCAGCCAGGAUAUCGUCCAAAGAGAUGUCAAGAAAGAGACUGUGGACUGAUGAGAUGACUCGGGGUGUCUGUCUGUCUGUCUGUCUGUCUGUCUGUCUCUGUCUCUCUGUCUCUCUCUCCCUCUCCCUCCCUC